CACCCGUUCCCAUCCCGAACACGGUAGUUAAGCUUCUCUGCGCCAAUGGUAGUUGGGGGCUUCCCCCUGCGAGAGUAGGUCGCUGCCGGGC
This 91-nucleotide ribosomal RNA is filed under the name Listeria monocytogenes. Lineage: Bacteria; Bacillati; Bacillota; Bacilli; Caryophanales; Listeriaceae. The record is from RNAcentral.